CACCGCGGUUAUACGAGGGGCCCAAGUUGAUAGCCUACGGCGUAAAGCGUGGUUAAGAUAAAAAUGUAACUAAAGCCGAACAUAGGCAAAGCUGUCGUACGCUUACGCCAAUGGAAGCCCAAUCACGAAAGUAGCUUUAUGUUUUCUGAUUCCACGAAAGCUAGGGAA
RNAcentral lists this ribosomal RNA (168 nucleotides) under Compsanthias ventralis (longfin anthias). Its description in RNAcentral is "partial small subunit ribosomal RNA". The record is from RNAcentral. Lineage: Eukaryota; Metazoa; Chordata; Actinopteri; Perciformes; Anthiadidae.